GAAAUUUUAAGUUAAAUAAAACUAUUAAUUUUCAAAAUUAAAAUUAAAAAAAAUUAAAUUUCA
Molecule: transfer RNA, 63 nt
Filed under: Thrips imaginis (plague thrips)
Lineage: Eukaryota; Metazoa; Arthropoda; Insecta; Thysanoptera; Thripidae
Also listed under: 2 other names
Description: tRNA-Trp
Source: RNAcentral